GUCCGGAUUAGAGUCUGUUGAGGACUACAACUUCGACUUCAACUCUUUUGAAGAACUCUCCUUAUCAGGUUCGCAACACGACGUGGUAAUCACAUCAACACCGCAAGGCAGAUUCAUCUACUGGUCGGGCAUGAAGCCAUCAUUCCUUACCAAAGACAAUGAAUCACGCCUCAUCGUACACUUGGAUAUCCUCCCAUAUAAAGAGGGUAGUCCAC
RNAcentral lists this long non-coding RNA (215 nucleotides) under Setaria viridis. Its description in RNAcentral is "long non-coding RNA (SVIR_LNC000505)". Lineage: Eukaryota; Viridiplantae; Streptophyta; Magnoliopsida; Poales; Poaceae. The record is from RNAcentral.